CGCUGAAAGCAUCUAAGCGUGAAACCAGCCUAAAGAUGAGGUUUCUCAUUACGUAAGUAAGUAAGGUCCCACAGAGACGAUGUGGUUGAUAGGCCGGGAGUGGAAGUACAGUGAUGUAUGGAGCGGACCGGUACUAAUAGACCGAGGACUUGACUU
Molecule: ribosomal RNA, 156 nt
Filed under: Megasphaera paucivorans
Lineage: Bacteria; Bacillati; Bacillota; Negativicutes; Veillonellales; Veillonellaceae
Description: 23S rRNA. Bacterial LSU
Rfam family: Bacterial large subunit ribosomal RNA
Source: RNAcentral